AGAUUUGAGAUGAUGAGAAAAUUGCGUUUUGAAAGAAAUCAGUAAAGUAUUCACAUUCCUCAUCACUUCAUGAAAAUGGAAACAGAAAAUUAUCUAAGGAAGCGGGGAUGGAUUUCUUGAAAUUCUGACUCAAGGGUGCAGCCUAAAAUAUCAUAGGUAGCGACUAUUGGCAAUCUCUUGGUGUUUUUGCUCCUCAUAAGAGACUCAUCUCCUUGCUACCUCAUCAGUGGCCUUAAAUCAUUCCCGAGGGUUCUUUCUGCUGGAGAUAAUUGUUCUUGGUAGUCCCAUGAGGAUUAUUGAGGAUCAUGUUCAAAACAGAUUCUGGGCAUUGACCCCGGACCCUCUGAAUUAGGGUUUUUGAAAGUGGAGCACUGUAAUGUACAUUUUCAAGUAGUUCUCCCAUUGUAACUCUCUGGUCCGAAAACUUGGAGAAUUGCAGGUGACAAUCAUCCCAACAUGGAUUUAUAUGAUUUUCUGUCCUAGUCCAUUUCUGUUGCUAUAACAAAAUACAUGAGACUGGGUAACUUAUGAAGAAGAGAGGUUUAUUUGGUACAUGAUUUUAAGUCUGAAAAGUCCAAGCUUGGGCAGCCACAUCUGGUAAGGGCCCCAUGCUGAAUCAUAAUGUGGUAGAUGAUAUCACAUGGCAGGAGUGUGUAUGGGAGUGAUAAGCAGAGCAUACAGAGCAGCAGGUCUGUGAGAGAGUCCUAGUGGGAAGAGUCAGCCUUGCUUUAUAAUAAUUUACUCUCAAAGUAACUAAUCCAGUCCCAGGAGAUCUAACCUAUUCCCUCCAGACAGGCAUAGAUCUCUUCCAAGGGUAGUCUCCAUGACCUUAUUAGGUCCCAGGGGGCCCCACCUCUUAAAGUUUCUGCUACUUUUCAAUACUGUUAAAGUGGGAUGAAGCUUCCAGAACAUGAACCUUUGAGGGAAAAACCAUAGCCAAGCCACACCAGUUCCCAAGUGGUGAGUGCUUGGGCCCAGCCUGUCUGUGCUCUCCAAUCUCCAAUUACCAUUUCCCAGGAACAUCACACCUUAGAGAAAUUCUGAUUCCUGUCUUAAGUUGAACCUGGAACAUUAUAUCUCAUCAGUAAAAGAAGGACAUUCUCUCAGACAGCGAGGUGCUUGCCAAAAUAUUCAGAGCCCAACUAGGAGAGGCUUCCCAUGGCCAAAAAUGGAACAAUUUGAGCAUCAACAGAGAAAAAAGGCUACUCUGGACCAGGAUAUAUCACUUACUUUAAAAUUCGAGAGUUCAUCGAUGUUCAUAGCAGCACAAUUCACAAUAGCAANGGAAAUUGCAUGGAAAUGGAAGGA
Molecule: long non-coding RNA, 1308 nt
Filed under: Marmota monax (woodchuck)
Lineage: Eukaryota; Metazoa; Chordata; Mammalia; Rodentia; Sciuridae
Source: RNAcentral